RNAcentral lists this ribosomal RNA (1454 nucleotides) under uncultured bacterium. RNAcentral's name for it is "bacterial SSU rRNA". It matches the Rfam family "Bacterial small subunit ribosomal RNA". The record is from RNAcentral.
ACGCUGGCGGCGUGACUAAUACAUGCAAGUCGAGCGAACAGAUGAGAAGCUUGCUUCUCUGAUGUUAGCGGCGGACGGGUGAGUAACACGUGGGUAACCUACCUAUAAGACUGGGAUAACUCCGGGAAACCGGGGCUAAUACCGGAUAAUAUUUUGAACCGCAUGGUUCAAUAGUGAAAGACGGUUUCGGCUGUCACUUAUAGAUGGACCCGCGCCGUAUUAGCUAGUUGGUAAGGUAACGGCUUACCAAGGCGACGAUACGUAGCCGACCUGAGAGGGUGAUCGGCCACACUGGAACUGAGACACGGUCCAGACUCCUACGGGAGGCAGCAGUAGGGAAUCUUCCGCAAUGGGCGAAAGCCUGACGGAGCAACGCCGCGUGAGUGAUGAAGGUCUUCGGAUCGUAAAACUCUGUUGUUAGGGAAGAACAAAUUUGUUAGUAACUGAACAAGUCUUGACGGUACCUAACCAGAAAGCCACGGCUAACUACGUGCCAGCAGCCGCGGUAAUACGUAGGUGGCAAGCGUUAUCCGGAAUUAUUGGGCGUAAAGCGCGCGUAGGCGGUUUCUUAAGUCUGAUGUGAAAGCCCACGGCUCAACCGUGGAGGGUCAUUGGAAACUGGGAAACUUGAGUGCAGAAGAGGAGAGUGGAAUUCCAUGUGUAGCGGUGAAAUGCGCAGAGAUAUGGAGGAACACCAGUGGCGAAGGCGGCUCUCUGGUCUGUAACUGACGCUGAUGUGCGAAAGCGUGGGGAUCAAACAGGAUUAGAUACCCUGGUAGUCCACGCCGUAAACGAUGAGUGCUAAGUGUUAGGGGGUUUCCGCCCCUUAGUGCUGCAGCUAACGCAUUAAGCACUCCGCCUGGGGAGUACGACCGCAAGGUUGAAACUCAAAGGAACUGACGGGGACCCGCACAAGCGGUGGAGCAUGUGGUUUAAUUCGAAGCAACGCGAAGAACCUUACCAAAUCUUGACAUCCUUUGACCGCUCUAGAGAUAGAGUCUUCCCCUUCGGGGGACAAAGUGACAGGUGGUGCAUGGUUGUCGUCAGCUCGUGUCGUGAGAUGUUGGGUUAAGUCCCGCAACGAGCGCAACCCUUAAGCUUAGUUGCCAUCAUUAAGUUGGGCACUCUAGGUUGACUGCCGGUGACAAACCGGAGGAAGGUGGGGAUGACGUCAAAUCAUCAUGCCCCUUAUGAUUUGGGCUACACACGUGCUACAAUGGAUAAUACAAAGGGCAGCGAAUCCGCGAGGCCAAGCAAAUCCCAUAAAAUUAUUCUCAGUUCGGAUUGUAGUCUGCAACUCGACUACAUGAAGCUGGAAUCGCUAGUAAUCGUAGAUCAGCAUGCUACGGUGAAUACGUUCCCGGGUCUUGUACACACCGCCCGUCACACCACGAGAGUUUGUAACACCCGAAGCCGGUGGAGUAACCUUUUAGGAGCUAGCCGUCGAAGGUGGG